RNAcentral lists this ribosomal RNA (374 nucleotides) under Nematoda sp. Its description in RNAcentral is "SSU rRNA". It matches the Rfam family "Eukaryotic small subunit ribosomal RNA", at positions 252 to 626 of the family's 1831-position model. The record is from RNAcentral. Lineage: Eukaryota; Metazoa; Nematoda.
CUUCAGAAUCUAGCAGAUCGCACGGUCUAGAACCGGCGACAUAUCCUUCAAGUGUCUGCCUUAUCAACUGUCGAUGGUAGUUUAUUGGACUACCAUGGUUGUAACGGGUAACGGGGAAUUUGGGUUCGAUUCCGGAGAGGGAGCCUGAGAUACGGCUACCACAUCCAAGGAAGGCAGCAGGCGCGCAAAUUACCCACUCUCAGUGCGAGGAGGUAGUGACGAAAAAUAACGAGACAGUCUUCUAUGAGGUCUGUCAUCGGAAUGGGUACAAUUUAAACCCUUUAACGAGGAUCUAUUGGAGGGCAAGUCUGGUGCCAGCAGCCGCGGUAAUUCCAGCUCCAAAAGCGUAUACUAAAGUUGUUGCGGUUAAAAAG